This 103-nucleotide microRNA precursor is filed under the name Marmota monax (woodchuck). The record is from RNAcentral. Lineage: Eukaryota; Metazoa; Chordata; Mammalia; Rodentia; Sciuridae.
AGUGGGAUAGCUGGCACAAAUGAUGGUUCUAUUCCAGUUUUUCUGAGGAAUCUCCAUACUGCUUUCCAAAGAGGUUGAACCAAUUUGCAGUCCCACCAGCAAU